This 163-nucleotide ribosomal RNA is filed under the name uncultured bacterium. RNAcentral describes it as "partial 16S ribosomal RNA". It matches the Rfam family "Bacterial small subunit ribosomal RNA", at positions 355 to 511 of the family's 1533-position model. The record is from RNAcentral.
UAGGGAAUCUUCCACAAUGGACGCAAGUCUGAUGGAGCAACGCCGCGUGAGUGAAGAAGGGUUUCGGCUCGUAAAGCUCUGUUGUUAAAGAAGAACGUGGGUAAGAGUAACUGUUUACCCAGUGACGGUAUUAACCAGAAAGCCACGGCUAACUACGUGCCAG